AUGGUGUCGCCGAGCGAGCGCAGAGCUGCGCACAAAACUCUCUGUCGUCUUCGUCUACCUCUCUUCCGCGGCGGUGACAGCGAUCUAGGCCUCGCCGGAGCUCUCGGCUCCAACACGAUCAUCGCGCUCGUUGCGCUGAUCUGCUGCCUCGUGGCCGGCGGCGGGGCGCGCGCGCAGCCGUUCGACUACCCGGCGGCGAGGCUCGCCACGACCUGGGCCAACACGGACGCCGCCCUGCCGCACCACGUCGUCUACACCGACGGCUCCGUGGCGCGCGCCGCCCUGCUGCGGCUCAACCCGGCGGGCCUCGGCCCCUCCUACGCCUUCGGCUUCUUCUGCACCGCCAGUCAACCACGCGGCAACGGCCCCGCGGCCCCGUGCACGGAGUUCCUGCUUGGCGUCGCCGUCGUGUACUGCAACAGCGGCGCGGGCAUGACGUUCGUCACGGCCGGCGUCCCGCAGGUCGUCUGGUCGGCCAACCGCGGCAGCCCCGUCCGGGAUGGCGCCACGGCUGAGCUCACGCCGGAGGGCGACCUCGUGCUCAGCGACGGCAACCUGGUGCUGUUCGACGGGCACAACGCCACGGUGUGGCAGUCGUUCGACCACCCCACGAACGCGCUCCUCGUCGGGCAGUCGCUGAAGCACGGGGCGCGGCUCACCGCCAAUGCGUCGACCGCGGACUGGCGCGAUGGCAGGUUCUACCUCGCCGUCCACGACGAUGGACUGAACGCCUACGUCAACGCCACGCCGCCGCAGCGCUACUACCACCUCGGCCUCAGCGAGACCGCACCCGGCGCCUACGCGACGUACACCAACGGCAGCCUCACGGUGUCCGCCCGGCCCGGUGCGCCGCCGCUGGCCGCCAUCCAGCUGCCCACCGUGGGCGCCGGCACGGUGCAGUACAUGCGACUGGAGCACGACGGCCACCUCCGGAUCUACGAGUGGCGCUCGGGCUGGACGCCGGUGUACGACGUGCUCAAGUCUGCUACGAACUGA
This 996-nucleotide ribosomal RNA is filed under the name Triticum aestivum (bread wheat). RNAcentral's name for it is "partial small subunit ribosomal RNA". Lineage: Eukaryota; Viridiplantae; Streptophyta; Magnoliopsida; Poales; Poaceae. The record is from RNAcentral.